AUCAGCAUUGCGGGAGGAAUGUGUUGGGGUGGGGUGGGGGCGGAGGAGCUGGCCUGAAGAGCCAGGGCACAAAGUGAGGCCCUCUGUGAGGGUGGUGUCCACUUGGCAGGGAGGAAGACCUGGCCAUGUGGAAGGAAAGCUGUGUAAAUAGCAUGCCCUUCCCAUCAGGAUCUCCAGGGAAGUCUGGCUGGGUUGGUAAUACAGCCCUGCUUUCAUGAGGCUUCCAUGAACCUUUCAAUAAAGCGCUUUGAUCUAUGGGCUCACUCACACACACACACACACACACACACCUCAUACUUAUCUUCACAGCCACCUUCCAGGGCACAUAAAGUAUGCCUGGCUUUAUUUUAUGAGGCUGGAGGAAGCCAAGGUCACUCAGCCAGCAACAGGGAGAGCAGAUGGAGCCUGGAUGCAAAGGCAGUGUGAUAAAGUUGCUGCCCUCAAGGGUACCCCGUGGACGUCCAGGGCAACAGCGGGUCCUCAGCACCCACUCUGGGCCCAGGCCUCAUCCCCUCUCCCACUUCCACAAUACCCAGGGGGGUCAUUCCUCAGACCCUGCUGGUGCUAUUAUUCCCUUGGCACUGCCCGGCAGCUUCUCUGAGUCCCUCUCCAGCCUGAGUGAGGAGCUUUGCCUGCCCCUCAUCGCCCUGCAGGGCCCUGCUAGAUUCUUCUGUCACCUUCAGUCAGGGUCCAUGUUAGAGUACAGGUUUGGCAAAGGGCUUCCCCUCUGACCCCCCGGCCCUCCUGCCCUGCAAGAUGGCAGCUGCCCUUCCCCAGGGACCAGGGAUGCAGCCGCUCUUGUAGCCUGUGGUUACCAUGGUGACGGCCCUCCGUCGGUUUCCGUGGGGGGCAGUGGUGAGGGCUGAUGUCAGGGAUGGCGUGUGUGAGCGCCUGCACUGUGUGUCCAUUUUCAGCUCCAGGUGAGGGGCGGGGGCCCUCAGGGAGUGGGACCCCUGCCUCCAGGUGGGGGGCUGUCUCUCCCUGAAGCACUGUCUCAAUAAGCUCAGCUGUGUCCUGGGGGCAGGGAAGACUGCAUGAGAGACUGGAGGACACUGAAGUGAAGAAGGAUGCUCCAGAAGGAAAACGGGAGGUUGGGGGGGCAGGUGGAGAUGGGCAUCCAUACAGGGGACCAAGAAGGAUCCAGAGCCUCAGGGGGGCAGACCUGGGGAGGGCUGGGCCCCUUAUUUCUGCCAUCCACAACCCCCACCUUCCCGGAGUGGGUGGGGUGGGUGGGGGUCUCCUGCUGCGCUUCCCCCCCAGGCCGAGAGAAGGUCCCUCUGCUCCUCCGACAUGAUCUGUAAUUUCCGGCAGACAUUUGAGGUCCCUGACAUCUGCAUAAUGUGGGCCAGUCUCUUAGCAACGGGGAACAGCUGUCUGGCAUUUCCAAGAUUAAACUGUAACUAUAC
Molecule: long non-coding RNA, 1406 nt
Organism: Bos taurus (domestic cattle)
Lineage: Eukaryota; Metazoa; Chordata; Mammalia; Artiodactyla; Bovidae
Source: Ensembl